Teleopsis dalmanni is the source of this 2451-nucleotide RNA transcript. It is a transcript of the gene named carnitine O-palmitoyltransferase 2, mitochondrial-like, with no coding region annotated. NCBI's taxonomy places the organism in Eukaryota, Metazoa, Arthropoda, Insecta, Diptera, Diopsidae. The transcript is spliced from 5 exons. The record is from RefSeq and is a predicted model, not a curated record.
CACACUUAGUGAAAUUUUGCUUUAUACAACGAAUUUUGCGUUAUUCGCUAUUGUCUAAUAUAUAUUAAAAAAUAAUUAAAAAUGCGUGGAAUUUUACUGCAAAGUCCGAAAAAAUUAUGCACUCAAGCUGUUAGAUCCGUAACUUCAACACCACAAGGAACAGAUUAUCAAUACAUGCAAUGUUCCAAACUGCCGACAAUGUAUUUUCAGCGCUCCUUGCCACGUCUUCCUAUACCUACACUAGACAAAACCUGUGAAAGAUUCUUGUCUGCUGUGCAACCUAUACUCAAUGCUGACGAAUUUGCUGCGACUCAAAAAGUGAUAAAGGAGUUUCAUCAGGGAGAAGGUAUGGAUUUGCAUGCAAAGCUAAAACAAAACGAUUUAAACAACAAACACACAAGUUAUAUAUCCGAGCCUUGGUUCGAUAUGUACCUCAGUGACCGUGCGCCACUUCCACUAAAUUAUAAUCCUCUCUUAAUUAUGAAGCAUGAUACACGGCCAGAAUAUCGAUCACAGCUAGUCCGUGCUACGAAUUUGGUUGUGAGUUCAUUAAGAUUUUGGAACUCAUUAAAAGUAGAUCUUUUAGAACCUGAAAUAUUUCAUUUGAAUGCUAAGAAGAGUGACACUCCUCAAUUUAGGCAAUGGAUGCGUAUUGCUCCAACGGCUUUUGCAACAUAUGUUGCUUACGUCUUCAAAGCCUUUCCACUAGAUAUGAGUCAAUACAAUCGUUUAUUUGGUACAUCACGUAUACCUCAAAUGGAUAAAGAUCUUUUAGUGCAAAAUAUUGACUCUAAGCAUAUCAUUGUUAUGAGAAGAGGUAAUCUAUAUGCAGUAGAUGUAUUAAAUCAAAAUGGACAAAUAGAGCAACCUAGCGUAAUAUUAGCGCGGCUUCAAGCAGUACUGAGUCUAGAUAAUAAACGUAAUGCGGCUGAAGUGCCUUUGGGUGUUUUAACUACCGGUUCACGCAAUGAUUGGGCCCGCACACGACAACAUUUAGUAAAGAAUAUAUCAGAAAAAAAUGGAAAGUUGAUAGAAAAUGAAGUGGAUAAGGCAUUAUUUUGUUUGUGUUUGGAUAGUGAGGAAGAUCCAAUUUAUAAUGAUGAUAAUCAGAUACCAUUAAUUAAAAAUUUUCUAGCUGGCGAAGGAAAAAAUCGCUGGUUUGAUAAAUCUAUCUCAUUACUUGUGGGUGCUGAUGGCACGGCAGCAGUCAAUUUUGAACACUCUUGGGGCGAUGGAGUAGCAGUUCUACGUUAUUUCAAUGAAAUUUACAAAGAAACAUUACAGCGGCCGUUUGUUAGCAGUGCCACCAUUCCAGAAAGUUUGAAUAAUGAUCACAGUGUGCGUUCCUUAAAUUUUGAUAUAGAUGAUAAGUUGCGUGCGGAUGUCGCAUUGGCUUCAUCAAAAAAUUCUGAUGUUAUGGAAACUCUGAAUAUGGAUAUGCUACGUUAUUCGCAUAUAAAUAAAUUAUCUUGCAAAAAAUAUGGAGUAAGCCCAGAUUCUAUUAUGCAGUUGUCAUUUCAGCUAGCCUACAAGUUGGCAUUUAAUUCCUAUGUCGGUACAUAUGAAUCUUGUAGUACAGCUGCAUUUCGACACGGUCGUACGGAAACUAUGCGCCCAUGUACAAUUCCAACUAAAAACUUUUGCGAAGCAAUUUUAAAACCAACUAACAGUAGACCUGACUCUAAUGAAUUACGAACUAUGAUCGAUAAGUGUUCUACGGUGCAUGGAAAUUUAACAAAAGAAGCUGCAAUGGGUCAAGGAUUCGAUAGACAUUUAUUUGCUUUAAAGCAUGAGGCAGUUAAGCAGAAUAAAACUAUACCUGAAUUGUACAAUACCGAGGCAUAUAGAAAAAUUAAUUAUAACAUUAUAAGCACAUCCACAUUGUCUUCCGAUGCAUUAUUAGCAGGUUCUUUUGGACCAGUUGUGCAGGAUGGAUUAGGUGUUGGCUAUUCGAUACAAAAUGCAGAAUGCGGUGCUAUAGUUUCUUCCUAUAAAAAUCAAAGGAAUGGUAAACAUUUUGUAGAUUGCUUGGGUCAAGCAUUCAGCGAAAUUCAUAAAACGCUCGAUGCUAGUAAAAAAUGAGAUUAAGUCUUAAAUGUUCUUCAAGCACGCAGAAAUCGUGAAUAUGAAAUGGACUGGUGAUGUGCAUAUGAUUUAGUAUCGAGAAGAUUAAAGUUACCUUGAUGAGAAUACAUAUAUGUUGUCGCUUUCAGAUCACAGAACAAAAACGCUUUGAUAAUGUUAUUGCCACAGACUGCAAACUGCUUUUAUUGAAAGAGGUAAAAAAAAAUAUAGGAGACAACAAGAAGACCAGGAAAGAAAUAAUCCAUGCUAAUAUGGAUUUGAAAAAUAUAUAUUGGUGAUACAUCCAACACUUUUAAGGAUUCAUAGAAACACGUAUAUCGAAUAUGCAUAAAACAUUUUCACAAAAGGAUAAUACAAUAAUUUCAA